This 504-nucleotide ribosomal RNA is filed under the name Lampyridae sp. UPOL RK0376. RNAcentral describes it as "partial 16S ribosomal RNA". The stretch from base 368 to 504 matches the Rfam family "Bacterial large subunit ribosomal RNA", at positions 2473 to 2610 of the family's 2925-position model. The record is from RNAcentral. Lineage: Eukaryota; Metazoa; Arthropoda; Insecta; Coleoptera; Lampyridae.
CAUGUCUUUUUGGUAAUAAUUUAAAGUCUAAUCUGCUCAAUGAAAAUUAAAUAGCUGCAGUAUUUUGACUGUGCAAAGGUAGCGUGAUAAUUAGUUUUUUAAUUAAAAACUUGUAUGAAUGAUUUGACAAGAAAAUUUCUGUCUCUUUUUAAUGAUUUAUGAAUUUAACUUUUAAGUUUAAAGGCUUAAAUUUUUAUAAAAGACAAGAAGACCCCAUAGAGUUUUAUUUUUUUUAUAUUUUUAGGAUAAUUAAGCUUAAAGAAAAUUAGUUGGGGUAACUUUAAGAUUAACUAAAUUCUUAAAAUUUAAAAUCAUUGAUUUAUGAAUUUAAAAUCUAAAUUAUUAAAUUUAAUUAAAUUACCUUGGGGAUAACAGCAUAAUUCUUUUUUAGAGUUCUUAUCAAAAAUUGGGAUUAUGACCUCGAUGUUGGAUUAAAAUUUAUUUUUGGUGAAGAAGCUUAAAUAUUAAGUCUGUUCGACUUUUAAAAUUUUACAUGAUCUGAGU